GGGGAUGCUUGGUAUCGACAGGGAGUGAAGGUCGUAGAUUGCAAGCCGUGCCGCCCAGUCACGUUAAAGGGGCAAACGCCAAAAUAACUGGCAACAACAACAACAUGGGCCGCAUGGCCCUCGCUGCCUAAUAACAGGUAGCCGCCCCCAUUGGUUCGCUCGAUGAUCAAUGGCUCGGCGUCAACAAGUCGAGUGCUCCCUCGGUGACCACCUGCUGGCCAAGGGAAAAGACAAGCGGGUUUGCCCAAAAGUCGCUUUGCUCAUUGAGCGGCUGCGGGCGAGCUACAAUCAAUGGGCUAAGCUUGUAGUAUGUCUACGGUUUAGCUUUCUGGACGGGGGUUCGACUCCCCCCAUCUCCACCA
RNAcentral lists this transfer-messenger RNA (362 nucleotides) under Candidatus Viridilinea mediisalina. RNAcentral describes it as "Viridilinea mediisalina Standard tmRNA". It matches the Rfam family "transfer-messenger RNA". Rfam says of the family: Bacterial tmRNA, also known as 10Sa RNA or SsrA, is named for its dual tRNA and mRNA-like properties. Its role is to liberate the mRNA from a stalled ribosome. The record is from Rfam by way of RNAcentral. Lineage: Bacteria; Bacillati; Chloroflexota; Chloroflexia; Chloroflexales; Oscillochloridaceae.